UACGUAGGGUGCGAGCGUUGUCCGGAAUUAUUGGGCGUAAAGAGCUCGUAGGCGGUCUGUCGCGUCUGCUGUGAAAACCCGAGGCUCAACCUCGGGCCUGCAGUGGGUACGGGCAGACUAGAGUGCGGUAGGGGAGAAUGGAAUUCCUGGUGUAGCGGUGAAAUGCGCAGAUAUCAGGAGGAACACCGGUGGCGAAGGCGGCCUGCUGGGCUAUGGCUGACACUGAGGCGCGACAGCGUGGGGGAGCAAACAGG
This 254-nucleotide ribosomal RNA is filed under the name uncultured bacterium. Its description in RNAcentral is "partial 16S ribosomal RNA". It matches the Rfam family "Bacterial small subunit ribosomal RNA", at positions 524 to 776 of the family's 1533-position model. The record is from RNAcentral.